CGCAUCUGUGCAUGCAGCAUAUCAAUAAGCGGAGGAAAAGAAACUAACAAGGAUUCCCUCAGUAACGGCGAGUGAAGCGGGAAGAGCUCAAAUUUGAAAUCUUGAAAGGUCACCUUUCACGAAUUGUAGUUUAAAGAAGUGUUUUCUGUUACGAUCGUAAUAUAAGUUCUUUGGAAUAGGACAUCACAGAGGGUGAGAAUCCCGUCUAUGAUUGCGAUUUGUAGCUUUGUGAUACACUUUCAAAGAGUCGGGUUGUUUGGGAAUGCAGCCCAAAACGGGAGGUAAAUUUCUUCUAAGGCUAAAUAUUGGCGAGAGACCGAUAGCGAACAAGUACCGUGAGGGAAAGAUGAAAAGAACUUUGAAAAGAGAGUUAAAUAGUACGUGAAAUUGUCAAAAGGGAAGCGUUUAACACCAGUGUUGUUUUCUGAAAAUCAACCUCUGUUAGCUUUAUGCAUGUUUGUUUAGACCUAAUCAGCUAUCUUGCAUGUUCUAUUGUUUGCAGUGGUGCACUUUUCAGUUUACAGGUCAACAUCAGUUUUUUUUACCGUAAAAAAGUUAAAGAAAGGUAGCUCAUGGCUCCGGUCGUGAGUGUUAUAGUCUUUUUCCUAUGCGGUAGGAGAGACUGAGGUCUGCAGUGUAGGCUAUUUGGCUAGAUACUCAGGUGCUAUGUGAUACCAUUUCAUAAACAACUUGUUGAUUAUGUUUUGUCUAUUGCAUACUCGCUUGUACUAUCAUACCUACGCUUAGGAUGUUGAAGUCAUCGUAUCGCG
Molecule: ribosomal RNA, 770 nt
Filed under: uncultured Neocallimastigales
Lineage: Eukaryota; Fungi; Neocallimastigomycota; Neocallimastigomycetes; Neocallimastigales
Description: partial large subunit ribosomal RNA
Rfam family: Eukaryotic large subunit ribosomal RNA
Source: RNAcentral